RNAcentral lists this ribosomal RNA (468 nucleotides) under uncultured bacterium. RNAcentral's name for it is "partial 16S ribosomal RNA". It matches the Rfam family "Bacterial small subunit ribosomal RNA", at positions 28 to 507 of the family's 1533-position model. The record is from RNAcentral.
GAUGAACGCUGGCGGCGUGCUUAACACAUGCAAGUCGAACGGAAAGGCCCAAGCUUGCUUGGGUACUCGAGUGGCGAACGGGUGAGUAACACGUGGGUGAUCUGCCCUGCACUUCGGGAUAAGCCUGGGAAACUGGGUCUAAUACCGGAUAGGACCACUUCUUGGAUGUUGUGGUGGAAAGUUUUUUCGGUGUGGGAUGAGCUCGCGGCCUAUCAGCUUGUUGGUGGGGUAAUGGCCUACCAAGGCGUCGACGGGUAGCCGGCCUGAGAGGGUGUACGGCCACAUUGGGACUGAGAUACGGCCCAGACUCCUACGGGGGGCAGCAGUGGGGAAUAUUGCACAAUGGGCGCAAGCCUGAUGCAGCGACGCCGCGUGGGAGAUGACGGCCUUCGGGUUGUAAACUCCUUUCGCUAGGGACGAAGCGUUUUUGUGACGGUACCUGGAGAAGAAGCACCGGCUAACUACGUG